GCUCUUGAUAUCUUGAUAUAGGAUAAGUGUUUUUGGGAAGCAAGUACAAGUUAUAAUACGACUAAACGCAAAAGGUACAGAUGCACAGUUCGGUAAUCCACCAGUUUAGGACACCCUCUUCUGCAGUUUGGAGUGCUCUUCUUAUUCCGGAGCCUACAUGUUGGUAUAUAUUCGUUCGUUGCAUAUGUAUAUAUUUGUUCAGGGGUACGGCGGGGCCCUGUCCCGCCAUAUGAUUCGGUUGGUCUGUUUAGAGGUCUGUAGAUGUAUUUGUGGGUGUGUGUGCCUACUUCUGUUCA
Molecule: long non-coding RNA, 296 nt
Organism: Lycium barbarum (goji berry)
Lineage: Eukaryota; Viridiplantae; Streptophyta; Magnoliopsida; Solanales; Solanaceae
Exons: 2
Source: RefSeq, a predicted model, not a curated record